Molecule: ribosomal RNA, 250 nt
Filed under: uncultured microorganism
Description: partial small subunit ribosomal RNA
Rfam family: Bacterial small subunit ribosomal RNA
Source: RNAcentral
UACGUAGGGUGCAAGCGUUAUCCGGAAUUAUUGGGCGUAAAGAGCUCGUAGGCGGUUUGUCACGCCUGGUGUGAAAGUCCAUCGCUUAACGGUGGAUCUGCGCCGGGUACGGGCAGGCUAGAGUGCAGUAGGGGAGAUUGGAAUUCCCGGUGUAACGGUGGAAUGUGUAGAUAUCGGGAAGAACACCAAUGGCGAAGGCAGAUCUCUGGGCUGUUACUGACGCUGGAGGGGCGAAAGCAGUGGGGGAGCG